RNAcentral lists this ribosomal RNA (285 nucleotides) under Triticum aestivum (bread wheat). Its description in RNAcentral is "partial small subunit ribosomal RNA". Lineage: Eukaryota; Viridiplantae; Streptophyta; Magnoliopsida; Poales; Poaceae. The record is from RNAcentral.
AUGAGUCUAUUGGCCUGGAACUGUCGAGGACUGGGGUUGGACUCGACAGUUGGCGAGCUUAGAGACCCGAUACGGUCAUACAACCCAGCGAUGGUGUUCUUAUCGGAGACAAAAAAGAGUGCAAAAUCAAUGGAGAGGCUCAAGUGGAGUCUAGGGUUUAGGCAAGGAGUGGUGGUGGAUUGUGUAGGGAAGAGUGGUGGUUUGGCUUUGUGGUGGAGAGAUCUGUUGGAAAUAUGCCCUAGAGGCAAUAAUAAAAUGGUUAUUAUUGUAUUUCCUUGUUCAUGA